GACCUCUGACCCGCCCGGGGCCCCGCCUAACGGCGGAGCCGUGUUGGGUGUGCGGCACCCUGGGCGGACCGCUGUGCUUACGCUCCCGGCCUCCGGCGAUCUUGCAGCCUGGAGGGGAAGGCAGACGUCUGGGUUUGCGGCGUCAGCAGGAUAUCCAAGUUGAGAUGCGGAGAUCGCCGAAGGGGCGCGGCCGGCUGACACCGACCCACAUUGUGAGGCAUCAACAGCUGCCUGCUGUCACGUCAACCCAGCCCUCUGGUUCCUCCUGAACGCUCACCUCUUCGUUCUCGAGGACCCAACAGCAAUUUACCGGUAACCAACGAUCAGCCCGGCUCGCCCACUCACCAAGUGGGACACACGCUCGAUCUCAUCGUCUCCGGUCCUCGUGCUGACUCUGAAAUCCCUCUGUCCGAACACAACCUCCUUGCCCGCGUUCUCUCCC
This is a long non-coding RNA of Ornithorhynchus anatinus (platypus), 442 nucleotides long. RefSeq lists it as uncharacterized. NCBI's taxonomy places the organism in Eukaryota, Metazoa, Chordata, Mammalia, Monotremata, Ornithorhynchidae. The record is from RefSeq and is a predicted model, not a curated record. The transcript has 3 exons.